Molecule: ribosomal RNA, 427 nt
Filed under: uncultured bacterium
Lineage: Bacteria
Description: partial 16S ribosomal RNA
Rfam family: Bacterial small subunit ribosomal RNA
Source: RNAcentral
UCGGGAAUCUUCCGCAAUGGGCGAAAGCCUGACGGAGCAACGCCGCGUGAGUGAUGAAGGUCUUCGGAUCGUAAAACUCUGUUAUCAGGGAAGAACAAAUGUGUAAGUAACUGUGCACAUCUUGACGGUACCUGAUCAGAAAGCCACGGCUAACUACGUGCCAGCAGCCGCGGUAAUACGUAGGUGGCAAGCGUUAUCCGGAAUUAUUGGGCGUAAAGCGCGCGUAGGCGGUUUUUUAAGUCUGAUGUGAAAGCCCACGGCUCAACCGUGGAGGGUCAUUGGAAACUGGAAAACUUGAGUGCAGAAGAGGAAAGUGGAAUUCCAUGUGUAGCGGUGAAAUGCGCAGAGAUAUGGAGGAACACCAGUGGCGAAGGCGACUUUCUGGUCUGUAACUGACGCUGAUGUGCGAAAGCGUGGGGAUCAAACA